UACGGAGGAUUCUAGCGUUAUCCGGAUUUAUUGGGUUUAAAGGGUGCGUAGGCGGACUGGUAAGUCAGCUGUGAAAGUUUACGGCUCAACCGUGGAAUUGCAGUUGAUACUGUUGGUCUUGAGUAUACAUGAGGUGUGUGGAAUUUGUGGUGUAGCGGUGAAAUGCGUAGAUAUUCCAAAGAACUCCAAUGGCGAAGGCAGCACACUGGGGUAUAACUGACGCUGAUGCACGAAAGUGUGGGUAUCAAACAGG
RNAcentral lists this ribosomal RNA (253 nucleotides) under uncultured bacterium. RNAcentral describes it as "partial 16S ribosomal RNA". It matches the Rfam family "Bacterial small subunit ribosomal RNA", at positions 524 to 776 of the family's 1533-position model. The record is from RNAcentral.